GCCGUAGCUCAGUGGCAGAGCGCUCGCUUCCAUAGCGAGAGGUCCCGGGUUCAAUCCCCGGUGUAACCA
This is a non-coding RNA of Drosophila suzukii, 69 nucleotides long. The record is from the annotation of a RefSeq genome assembly. Lineage: Eukaryota; Metazoa; Arthropoda; Insecta; Diptera; Drosophilidae.